GCAAGUCGAGCGGGCGUAGCAAUACGUCAGCGGCAGACGGGUGAGUAACGCGUGGGAACGUACCUUUUGGUUCGGAACAACACAGGGAAACUUGUGCUAAUACCGGAUAAGCCCUUACGGGGAAAGAUUUAUCGCCGAAAGAUCGGCCCGCGUCUGAUUAGCUAGUUGGUGAGGUAACGGCUCACCAAGGCGACGAUCAGUAGCUGGUCUGAGAGGAUGAUCAGCCACAUUGGGACUGAGACACGGCCCAAACUCCUACGGGAGGCAGCAGUGGGGAAUAUUGGACAAUGGGCGCAAGCCUGAUCCAGCCAUGCCGCGUGAGUGAUGAAGGCCCUAGGGUUGUAAAGCUCUUUUGUGCGGGAAGAUAAUGACGGUACCGCAAGAAUAAGCCCCGGCUAACUUCGUGCCAGCAGCCGCGGUAAUACGAAGGGGGCUAGCGUUGCUCGGAAUCACUGGGCGUAAAGGGUGCGUAGGCGGGUCUUUAAGUCAGGGGUGAAAUCCUGGAGCUCAACUCCAGAACUGCCUUUGAUACUGAA
Molecule: ribosomal RNA, 536 nt
Filed under: uncultured bacterium
Lineage: Bacteria
Description: bacterial SSU rRNA
Rfam family: Bacterial small subunit ribosomal RNA
Source: RNAcentral